UAGAGGGGCGGUGUGCCCUAGAACGCCCCCGGAAGAAGGGAGGGUUUGCUGUAGUGAGCAGAGAUCUGAUUGUUUCUGUGCUUUAUGUCCAAUAACCAACGGAAUCAUGAGCAAUCCGCGUCUCCGACGGCCUUCCUCUCCCCGUCUCCGCCUUUUCUUCCAUGCGAUCAACCAAUCGAUCCAUCCAUCCAUCCAUCCAUCCAUCUCCGUCUGUUCCUCGUUCAGAAUGAUCUAUCUGUUCUCUAGUCCCGCCGUGAUCCGAUCGCCGCCAUGGGAUGCUGUUCUUGGUUCCUUCCAAAAACUGGUUCUGAUCUGCAUUUCCCAGAGCAAAUUUUUCUUUUUUUUUUUUGCUAUUUCUCCCGGUUGUGUAAUCACUGCUACUGUUGAUCCAGAGACGAUUAUGGGGCGGGUUGACCUAAUUUUCUCCUGCACUAUUUUACGUGGUUGUGGCGGAGGUGAUCUUGAUUAGUAUAGCAUCUGAAGAUGCUGCCGAGAGCUCCUGCGGCAUGACUGUCUGAAAAAAUGGGUCAACUUGGUCUCUGAGCAAACGAAUCCACUCCCCAUGUGCAACAAUAUUAAUUCAAUAAUUUGACCAUAAUUAUUCCUAAAUGGGUCCGAACAUCACUCAGCCUCUUCUUUCCGACGAGAACUGGUCGAUCAUCCUGGGUUGACAUCAAUCGAUCGGCCAAUGUGUGGGUCAGGAUCAGAUCGGAUUGGCUGACCUAAUUGAAGUCCAGGCUUACCCGUUGAGAAAUGGGGAUCUAAUUGGGUCAACAACUGAUGUGGGUCCCUGGACUGUAGCUAACUGAUGUUAGUCCACAACUGAACAAGUGGGUUGACUUUUCUUUGCAUGCAAGUCAUCUUGGAGAAUGUAUCGGGUCCAUCGUCCAAUACAUAUGUCUCAAGGUCGAUGAACAGCAACCUUCAAUAAGUGACUUAGUCUUCACAGAAAGACUUGAUGGAAUGACAGUCCCCACGUGCCAAAAAUUAAAAGACAAUAUCUUAUAAUUUGGGCCUGACCCACCAGCCUAGCUAACCCACAUGAAUAUCUAGAGAGAGAGAGAGAGAGAGAGUAAGAAGCCUAGCGCGGACACCAAAAUGCACUCUAUAUAGGUAACCUUGGGGAAAUUGAAUCGUCGUCGUCUGUCCCACGUGGUAGGGGCACGUGGCAUGACUACGACGUGGUAACGACCAUCCGCACUAGAGGCAGAGAGACCGAUAAAGUCGAGUCGAUGGGUAUAUAAACAAUAAAAUUCAUAAUGGGAGUUAUAUGUAUAGAAAAAGUAUCAACGAGGGUAGGCAUGAAAAAAUACAUACCGAUAUAAGCCGCCUGGUGAGAAUCCGCCCCGGGCGGGGGGGACUGAGCCGGUGGGUCGUGGAUAUCUCUCGCCCUCGUCGUCCUCCACCUUCUGGCUGUUGACUUGGAGGAGCAGAUCAGGGGAGAGUUCCAGAGGCGGAGAGGGAAGGGAGGAGAGAGGAGGGGGAGUAAUG
Molecule: long non-coding RNA, 1491 nt
Filed under: Spirodela polyrhiza (greater duckweed)
Lineage: Eukaryota; Viridiplantae; Streptophyta; Magnoliopsida; Alismatales; Araceae
Description: long non-coding RNA (SPOL_LNC000717)
Source: RNAcentral